RNAcentral lists this ribosomal RNA (1975 nucleotides) under Hoplopleura pacifica. RNAcentral describes it as "SSU rRNA". It matches the Rfam family "Eukaryotic small subunit ribosomal RNA". The record is from RNAcentral. Lineage: Eukaryota; Metazoa; Arthropoda; Insecta; Psocodea; Hoplopleuridae.
GAUUAAGCCAUGCAUGUCUCAGUGCAAGCCGCAUUAAGGUGAAACCGCGAAAGGCUCAUUAAAUCAGCUAUAAUUUAAUUGAUGGUACAAUCACGGUUACUUGGAUAACUGUGGCAAUUCUAGAGCUAAUACAUGCAAAAUGAGUUCCGACCGCGUUUCCGCGAGGGGACGCGGAACGAAUGCUUUUAUUAGAACAAAACCAAUCGGAUCUUCCGUCGCGUCCGGUUAAUCCCGGCUCCGCACGGAAAUCAUCCGCAAACUCUUGACGACUCUGAAUAACUUUAAGCUGAUCGCACGGUCACGCACCGGCGACGCAUCUUUCAAAUGUCUGACUUAUCAACUUUCGAUGGUAGGCUACGCGCCUACCAUGGUGAUAACGGGUGACGGGGAAUCAGGGUUCGAUUCCGGAGAGGGAGCCUGAGAAACGGCUACCACAUCCAAGGAAGGCAGCAGGCGCGCAAAUUACCCACUCCCGGCACGGGGAGGUAGUGACGAAAAAUAACGAUGCAGGACUCUUUCCGAGGCUCUGCAAUCGGAAUGAGCACACUCUAAAUCAUUUAACGAGUAUCCAUUGGAGGGCAAGUCUGGUGCCAGCAGCCGCGGUAAUUCCAGCUCCAAUAGCGUAUAUUAAAGUUGCUGCGGAUAAAAAGCUCGUAGUUUGAUUUGUGUUCCGAGCAGUCGGUACGCCGUUCGUCGGCGCCUAACUGACUCGCGGCGGAACGUCCUGCCGGUUGACGGAGCGGGGUGCGAAGUCAGAGCGCGGCUCCGGUCGUUUGUUCGUUCGCAUUGUUCCGCGCGUCGCGGGUUCGGGUCUCGUCUCGUUCUCGCUCGCGUCGGACGUCUGCGUCCGUCAGUCUCACGAAUCCCGUCGCGGUGCUCUUAACCGAGUGACGCGCCGGGCCGGCACGUUUACUUUGAACAAAACUGAGUGCUUAAAGCAGGCCAAACCCAGCCGCCGGAAAGUCCAAUGCAUGGAAUAAUGGAAUAGGGCCACGGUUCUAUUUUGUUGGUUUUCGGAAUUUCCGAGGCAAUGAUUAAUGGGGACAGGCGGGGGCAUUAGUAUUGCGGCGUUAGAGGUGAAAUUCUUGGAUCGUCGCAAGACUAACCUAAGCGAAAGCAUUUGCCAAGGAUGUUUUCUUUAAUCAAGAACGAAAGUUGGAGGUUCGAAGGCGAUCAGAUACCGCCCUAGUUCUUACCGUAAACUAUGCCGGCUAGCGAUCCGUCGAUGUUCGUUUAGAUGAUUCAGCGGGCAGCUUGAGGGAAACCAAAGCCUUCGGGUUCCGGGGGAAGUAUGGUUGCAAAGCUGAAACUUAAAGGAAUUGACGGAAGGGCACCACCAGGAGUGGAGCUUGCGGCUUAAUUUGACUCAACACGGGAAACCUCACCAGGCCCGGGCACCGGAAGGAUUGACAGAUCAAGAGCUCUUUCUUGAUUCGGUGGGUGGUGGUGCAUGGCCGUUCUUAGUUGGUGGAGCGAUUUGUCUGGUUAAUUCCGAUAACGAACGAGACUCUAGCCUGUUAACUAGGCGACGAUUCACCGUGCGUGAAUUUUCCGGCAUGGAAUGAUUUUUUUCAAACACUGCCGGCGACUUGAUUUCUUCUUAGAGGGACAAGCGGCUUCUAGCCGCACGAGAUUGAGCAAUAACAGGUCUGUGAUGCCCUUAGAUGUUCUGGGCCGCACGCGUGCUACACUGAAGGAAUCAACGUGUCCGAGAGUCCUAGGCCGAGAGGUCCGGGCAACCCGUUGAAUUUCCUUCGUGAUAGGGAUCGGGGCUUGCAAUUGUUUCCCGUGAACUAGGAAUUCCCAGUAAGCGCGAGUCAUAAGCUCGCGUUGAUUACGUCCCUGCCCUUUGUACACACCGCCCGUCGCUACUACCGAUCGAACGAUUUAGUGAGGUCUUUGGACUCGUACGCGGGGGACGUCCAUCGCGGCGACUUCUCGCAGCUGCGAGGAAGACGACCAACUUAAUCGUUUA